AACUAAUGAACUUGUAUAAGUAUAUACUUUGAAAGUAUAAAAAAGAAAUAACAAUUUUCUAUUAGUUU
RNAcentral lists this transfer RNA (68 nucleotides) under Tenebrionoidea sp. 2 KM-2017. RNAcentral's name for it is "tRNA-Ser". Lineage: Eukaryota; Metazoa; Arthropoda; Insecta; Coleoptera. The record is from RNAcentral.